This 497-nucleotide ribosomal RNA is filed under the name uncultured bacterium. Its description in RNAcentral is "partial 16S ribosomal RNA". It matches the Rfam family "Bacterial small subunit ribosomal RNA", at positions 28 to 507 of the family's 1533-position model. The record is from RNAcentral.
GAUGAACGCUGGCGGCGUGCCUAAUACAUGCAAGUCGAGCGAACAGACGAGGAGCUUGCUCCUCUGACGUUAGCGGCGGACGGGUGAGUAACACGUGGAUAACCUACCUAUAAGACUGGGAUAACUUCGGGAAACCGGAGCUAAUACCGGAUAAUAUAUUGAACCGCAUGGUUCAAUAGUGAAAGACGGUUUUGCUGUCACUUAUAGAUUGAUCCGCGCCGCAUUAGCUAGUUGGUAAUGUAACGGCUUACCAAGGCAACGAUGCGUAGCCGACCUGAGAGGGAGAUCGGCCACACUGGAACUGAGACACGGUCCAGACUCCUACGGGAGGCAGCAGUAGGGAAUCUUCCGCAAUGGGCGAAAGCCUGACGGAGCAACGCCGCGUGAGUGAUGAAGGUCUUCGGAUCGUAAAACUCUGUUAGUAGGGAAGAACAAAUGUGUAAGUAACUAUGCACGUCUUGACGGUACCUAAUCAGAAAGCCACGGCUAACUACGUG